Molecule: long non-coding RNA, 3724 nt
Organism: Lethenteron reissneri (Far Eastern brook lamprey)
Lineage: Eukaryota; Metazoa; Chordata; Hyperoartia; Petromyzontiformes; Petromyzontidae
Source: RefSeq, a predicted model, not a curated record
CACGAUUUACGCAAUUUUUUUUAUUUUCAUUUAAAAAAUCAUCAAAAUUUCAUAACCCGACAUAUACAACAGCACAUCAGCCUGUUGAUGUUCUGAUGCGAUUGAUGGUUCAACCAGUGCCUUCGGGGAAUGUCAAAGUCAAGAGGUUCGAUAUUAGGGUUCUUAAAUGAGGUGUGUCUGUGCACCUGCGAUGUGGUAUCUUAUGAUAUUGGUCAUCUUCAGCAGAAUACCUCGAUGCCAAAUGGUGUCAAAGGCAGCAAAUAGGCCAAUCCAUGCUCUGUCAAUACUGUAAAUCAGCUUCUAUGAGGGUGGUAAAGCAAACAAUCAGAUUUCAGCAGCUAUGGCCAGUUCGACAUCCGUAUUCUUUAAUACAUAGUCAGGGAUCAAUAAUGGGGGACAGUCUGCCAAUCAUGGCUCAUUCCAUUAAGCUUGGCGGUGGAGAUCAAAAGGAUGUUUGCAUAUAGUUGAAGCAUACAUCUUGUUUGUAUCUGGGUUUCAAAAUGACGAUGACUUUCGCUUCCUUCCACACUUUUGGGAUUUGGCCUGUCCUGGGUAUGAAGGUGAAGAGGGUUACAAAUCAUUGUUGUUCAUAUAGUCCUAGGUUCCUUAGGAAUUCAAGACAUAGGUCACUAUAUUCUAGAAUCUUUUUAGAUCAGGUUCGAAGCUUUUGUGACUGCAGGAAUUACUCUUUGGUUCUUUUGGUAAAGUCAAGUAGAAAAUCAAAUCAAAUAAUAAUAGAAUACGACGUUUCGGUUGCAACACAAGCAGCCAUCAUCAGGUAAGAAGGAAUGAGAAAAAACAUAGUAAUCUUGUUAUAUUUUGUGGCACUAACAGACCACUUCUAUAUCAGAUACAUUGUGUGGUCUUGUUAGAUUUGUCACUUGUAGUAGUUGUUUACGGUCAGCUUGUUUAGUAAGCUGGUCGAUUUCUGCCUUUAGAGCAUGACCACGUAUGGGGAACCACAGCUUGCACUGUAGUUUUUUUGGGCGGUCUGUGCUCUGUUGUUUUAGAUGCAGCUAUAGGUAUGCGGAGAAGCUGCACGUCUUUACGGCUGCAGUGAGUGAUGUCCAAGUCUACAGUGCAGUCUUCCCAACGUUUCCUUCCUGUAAAGUGUAGGGCCCUUUUCUUGGCCACUGGUUCUGAUGAACUCUUGAAAGAGUUACAUUUUGAUUUAAAGCUUUCUUGACUGCAGAGAUUCAUAUUCUUGGUUCUUUCAGUAAAGUUACGUAGAAGGGAAAUAAUAAAGUAAUAUAAAAGAAAGCUCACGACGUUUCGACUGCAACACAAGCAAUCAUCAUCAGGUGUGAAAUCCACAGCAAAAACAUUUUCCUGCUGUGGAUUUCUUGAAAGAGUUGUUCUGUUUCCGGUUGCCAACGUGGGGUGGAGCUUUUCCGAUGCCACCUCGCGAUAUUAUUUUGCAGUGACAUUUUCCCAACGUUUUGUUUGUGCAAGGUUUAGGAACCCUUCCACGUACAGUUAAACAAUGUGAACAGUAGUUUUUGUGUGUGGGAAAACCCCACGUAAAGUUUUUUUUGACAAAUGUAUAAUUAUGGUACCACGUUUGUCCCCCAGCACACAGUUUGCUGGCCUUGAAAAUCCAGAUUCCGCAAAUUCACAUACCUGUCAUUUUUAGUUACAUUGCACAGUAAAUUAAAGCUCCCACACCUCCACCACCUACUAUAUAACAACCACUGGUAGAGAAAGACACACGGAGCCAGCUUCACCACCAGCAGAAUUGCGGAGAGCGAGAGUAGAAGACAAUUGGACCUCAGCCCUCACAGUGGAAGCAAGGCACGCAAACGCUUCUCGAAAUAACACUUUUAAAUAAAGCGUUGUUGUUGCCAAUUCACAAACCUCUGGUGCUCAUCGGUCGUGGAGUCGCACACGUCUUAGGAGGACAGAACAUCAUCAUCGUCUCCGAACUUCAUUAUUGUUAUUAGUGUCUAUUUAGCCGACCUGUCCCCCUCGUUACGAUUCACGGGAAGAGAGGGACAGGGCGGGCCGGUGAGUUUAUUAUUGCUUUAUUUUUUGUCUUUCAUUUACCCACAAUAUUGUUUACCUUUUCUCAAACGAUCAAGUCACGGAAGCUUAGAGCAGCACUCAACUCACCCUCUGGCAAUAAACCAAGCGAGCUUUAUUGCCAUGCCCAGUAUUCAACAAUGAUACAGCCCUGCCAAUUGUUGUUCAUGCCACUACUUUCAAAAUGGGCCUUGUGCUGAACUUGUAUUUAUCACGAUUUGUGCUGUGGAUAUUAUGCCGGUAAUACUGCAAGUGCCAUAAUAAUUACAUGGGCACCAUCUGCGCUGACAUUACGGUCCAUAUUGUUAAAAUUACCAUGGAUAUUAACAACUUAUUUAAUUUAAACUUUCCACGAAAACAAUGCCUUCAAGAUAGCCUUGCAGUAUAAAAAUUAUGUGAAUACCAAAUGCGCAGAUGGUUUAAUUUAAUGUGACUAUAAUCAUAAGAUAUUUCGACUGCUCUUAAAAUGUAUAUAUACAUCUCACCUUUCAAAUUAGCUAAUUCUGUCGUUCAACGUCUAUUUUGCAUAGAGUCUGUGAAAUAUUGGUUUGUUUUGAAGAGGAGACGAUGGGUUUACUGGACUUUUUGAAGAUGGAUUUUUUUUUAUGUAAGUAUUUAUAUCAAUCAAUCAAUUAAUGAUUACUCUUUAGAAUGUAGGCAGUUAUCCAGAUGCGUUUGUAAAUGAAAUAUCCCUUGAACGUUCUCCCCGUGGUUGCGUGACAUUUUCUCAGGGUCCUCCGGUGCACGUGAUAAGCUACUUCAUUCAGAAAUCAUUUGUGGCCAGGUUGCUUCUGAGAAUAGCUACAUAGCUCAUUGGGCCUUACCUGGUAAAAUAAAAAAAGUAGUUUAGUUCAUUGCACACGUUGAACACGUUAGGCAUUUUAAUCUUUGUAACUGCAUAUCAUGGUCCACAUUAUAAAAUGCUUACUACAGGUGUUUAAUUAUUUACGAAUACUGUAUCUAAUUGAAAGGAGAGAUGACUGAGUUUGGACAGUAAACCUUGCAGGGGUUAGUCUUACCAAUUUCGGAUAAUCUUGGGGAAAAGGCCGAUGCACACGGCUAGGUCAUCUCGGAUAGGGUUAGGGGCUCAUGAUACCCAUUUCGGACAUUCUAGGAUAAAGUUGGCAUGGAUGGCUUGAUGGGACAUAUCAUGAGAAUCAAAAGGAAAAGAGGUUAUGAACAUCGAAUCAUCACGCCAGAGAUCGAGAGGCACGCCUAAAAAGAGGCGACUACAAGUGGAUAGCCAAGAUAUAAAGGACUGUGAAGUUUAGAAUCAGAAUCAGAAUAUGUAUUUAUACUGGAGGAAUCCGAUGAGCUAUGAAGCUCUGUUUCACAGAUGUCCAGUAGGGGGGGGGUCAGAAAGUUAUAACAACAAAUAAUAGGGAAAUACGAUUGGAGUGCAAAGUAUAGGAAAGGUAAAUAAACUACUAACAUAUAUUUGUGUUUAUUUUACCAGGCCAAACCCACUGACCUAUUAACUUAUUUUCAGAAGCGACCUGGCCUGGCCACACAUGAUAUCUCAACAAAGUGGCUUAUCACGUGAACAUUUAUAAGCAGCCAAAUAAUGUAAAUACUCGAAAUGCAUGUUGGUUCUAAAUGUAAAGGGAACAACUUGAGGACCCGGAGAAAAACAUCUACUCGACCACGGAGAGGGAGACAUGCAAACUCCAAACAUACAGCAGGCAUCAGGGUCGGGAUCGAACCC